UAAAUGGGCAUGAGGGACUGCUGAGCCCC
Molecule: non-coding RNA, 29 nt
Filed under: Mus musculus (house mouse)
Lineage: Eukaryota; Metazoa; Chordata; Mammalia; Rodentia; Muridae
Source: RNAcentral